GACCCCGCUGCCCCUCACCGGGCCGCCCCUCACCGUGCCGGCCCGCGGCGGGGCCCCGGCCCAGGAUGCUGUCGAUGAAGUAGGAGAACUCUGACUCAGACCUUGACUUCAUUCCUUUCACUACCACAAUUUGGUUUGGCCAAAGCAAUACCUUUGUGAUCCUGUUCCUGUGGCAUCCUCUGAGAACGUUUGGGACAGCACUUUGUAAUACAAACUCUUGAAAAAGUUAAGGUGCCUGUGUGAAAGAUGACUCUGGAUAACAUUUACAAAAAGUGAGGUUUUUUACAUGGGAUUUUCUUGACAUUUCCUAAUUUAUUGCCCUGUUCAUAUUUGUUGGAAAAACAAAUGACACAUUUGUGUUGGGAAAAACAAUUAUUCUCUGCAUGCUAUGGACCAAAUGCUGUCAAUUCCAGGAAAGAAGACUUGAGCAAUCUAAUUUCCUCUGAUGAAAGAAGCUGUCAGAACUUCAUAAGGAAUGUCCUGGAUGUGAAAUAACCAGUGAUACGCUUGUUUUCUAGUUACACAUGUUACAGUCACACAUGUGUCUAUGGUCAAAGAGGAGCCCCUGCAUCUUGGAGAGCAUGCCUUAGGAAUUCCAAUUGGAUUCUUGGUGCUGGUAGCACCUCUGGGACAACAGAAUUAAGAAGAGGAAAAACCCUGCACAAUAGUAACUGCAACCAGAGGGAGGAGUGAGAAUAUGAGAGGAACAGCUGUGCAGACCCCCAGAGAGGCCUGAAGAUCUGCAUGAACUUGGGGAUCAGCACCUCUCUUUCAUUUUAUGGGAUUAGAUCUAGGUUACGUGUGGCAAUCCUGUAAAUGCUGGGGAAAUGCGAGACUGAAUGUUGUGGUACAGCCUUAGUUGGUCUCUCUCGAGCCAAUUGAUACUUAUUAUACCAGCUGCACCAGAGUGCAGUAACUCUUUUGUAAUGGAAUCACAGUAAGCUGGUUUCCCAUUUCAGUUAAUAACUUGUGAAAAGAAUGUAAGUGCUUUUUGCUGAUUAGGCAUACUUGACUGCUUGGGAAAAAAAUAUGUGUGCAGUACAUGGCAAUUCAGCUUCCCUCUCCGUGCUGCAUAUUCAAAAGCACAAUAAAAUAUUAGUUGAAAGAAGAGUAAGAUAAGAAUUGGAAUGUUGCUGACUAUGGAGAAGGCAUUGUGUUGAGAUGGCAGACACUGCUGUCACUGUGCUCAUUCUCACCAAUCCACCUGGAGCAGAUGCCCCUCUGUUGUGUCCCCAUCCAAAUCUCUUGGCAGUCUCACUUUCAGAUCCCUUCCUUCUCCCACUGCAGACCUUUGAUUUUAUGCAGACAAAUAAACUGAGAGCCUCAGUCUUCUCUGUGCAUUUGGUUCCUGAAGGAGAUAGAUUGUUCAUGAAAGGCUGGCAUGUAAGAGGUUCCUGUUGAAGUGAUAUAAAUGUAUUUUGAGAUACCUAGAAUGACCUAAACAUACUGC
This is a long non-coding RNA of Catharus ustulatus (Swainson's thrush), 1450 nucleotides long. RefSeq lists it as uncharacterized. The record is from RefSeq and is a predicted model, not a curated record. The transcript is spliced from 3 exons. NCBI's taxonomy places the organism in Eukaryota, Metazoa, Chordata, Aves, Passeriformes, Turdidae.